AGAGCCCCCCUGGUGACGUGCGCUCAACUGAAGACUGGCGACGUGAUGACAGCGCCACCUUUUGGAAAAAUGAGGAGGUGCACCACAGAUCCAAGAGGAACUCGGAGGCCAACAAAACUAUCCUCAUCCUUGGAAGACGUUCAGACUUCGGAUGCCUGUCUGGACCUCCCGGGCCACCCGGACCUCCUGGACAGUGUAGCUGUCCAACCCUAGCAGCCCCGACUGCUCCUCCGCAGGUCACAACCCCAGCAGC
Molecule: long non-coding RNA, 253 nt
Organism: Branchiostoma belcheri (Belcher's lancelet)
Lineage: Eukaryota; Metazoa; Chordata; Leptocardii; Amphioxiformes; Branchiostomatidae
Exons: 3
Source: RefSeq, a predicted model, not a curated record